This 253-nucleotide ribosomal RNA is filed under the name uncultured bacterium. Its description in RNAcentral is "partial 16S ribosomal RNA". It matches the Rfam family "Bacterial small subunit ribosomal RNA", at positions 524 to 776 of the family's 1533-position model. The record is from RNAcentral.
UACGGAGGUGGCAAGCGUUGCUCGGAAUCACUGGGCGUAAAGGGCGCGUAGGCGGGGAGGUAAGUCGGGUGUGAAAUCCCUCGGCCCAACCGAGGAACUGCGCCCGAGACUGCUUCUCUUGAGUCCCGGAGGGGAAGAUGGAAUUCCCGGUGUAGCGGUGAAAUGUGUAGAGAUCGGGAGGAACACCGGUGGCGAAGGCGGCCACCUGGACGGUAACUGACGCUGAGACGCGAAAGCGUGGGGAGCAAACAGG